UAUCUAGAUAGGAACUUAUUCUAAGACUAAGAAUUAGGACAAGACUAAAAAUUUAAAGUAGAAGUCAAAUACAUGUGCAAAGUCUAUGUGUCUCAGAGGAACUAGAAAUAGAAAAAAAGAUGUCUUUGACUUAACUCAAGACUAAGAGUUGUAGUGGUAUUAAGAAGUUGAAGAAGUAUUUACUAUGAUUGCUUGUUUUACUUAUUCCAGAAGAAACCUCUCAGAAUAAAUCCGUAUAGGGGGAUUCGAACAUGGGGAAUGACUAGUUUCUUAAGCGUUCACGUUAGGAUCACACAAUCAAUUACCUCCUGAAUGUAUUAUCUCUAUUUCCAAUAUUUGAAAACACAAGGAAACUAUAAUCUCCUCCUUCACCUUAUCAGUCUCUUCCUUAUAGCAAUUCAGUCAUACCAAUAACUACUAUUUCUACCAAUAUAUUCACCCUCAUAAUCUCCAAUUGUAAUAUUGUACCCUUACAACUUCAGCACACAAUUAUUUUUGUUCCAAUCAUUGAAAUUCUUCAUUCAGAACUGCCAUUCAUAUUACAGUAUUUCACAUAAACACAGACUCAUUCUCUGUACUGAACUACAAUCAGAUUUCAACAUUCAAUCUUUCUUCUUCUCAAAUAAUACCAAUCACAUUUCCAUUCCAUAAUUCACUUCGCAAUAUUCAGAAACUCUUAAUCCUCUUAUUCAAAGAAAAUAACAAACAAAAGAAAAGAGGUAGCACCAAGCUUACCCCAGCUCACAACUAUCACAAUGAUGGUCCCCGGCUUACACUAUCAUAAUCUGGCACCUUAAUUAACUUCUACAACUUCUAUAUACUUUCCCCUGAUUCUCC
This 837-nucleotide long non-coding RNA is filed under the name Physcomitrium patens. RNAcentral's name for it is "long non-coding RNA (PPAT_LNC012934)". Lineage: Eukaryota; Viridiplantae; Streptophyta; Bryopsida; Funariales; Funariaceae. The record is from RNAcentral.